This 433-nucleotide ribosomal RNA is filed under the name uncultured bacterium. RNAcentral describes it as "partial 16S ribosomal RNA". It matches the Rfam family "Bacterial small subunit ribosomal RNA", at positions 29 to 507 of the family's 1533-position model. The record is from RNAcentral.
AACGAACGCUGGCGGCAUGCCUAACACAUGCAAGUCGAACGAGACCUUCGGGUCUAGUGGCGCACGGGUGCGUAACGCGUGGGAACCUGCCCUUAGGUUCGGAAUAACUCCCCGAAAGGGGUGCUAAUACGGGAUAAUGUCUUCGGACCAAAGAUUUAUCGCCUUUGGAUGGGCCCGCGUUGGAUUAGCUAGUUGGUAGGGUAAAAGCCUACCAAGGCGACGAUCCAUAGCUGGUCUGAGAGGAUGAUCAGCCACACUGGGACUGAGACACGGCCCAGACUCCUACGGGAGGCAGCAGUGGGGAAUAUUGGACAAUGGGCGAAAGCAUGAUCCAGCAAUGCCGCGUGAGUGAUGAAGGCCUGAGGGUUGUAAAGCUCUUUUACCCGGGAUGAUAAUGACAGUACCGGGAGAAUAAGCUCCGGCUAACUCCGUG